Molecule: ribosomal RNA, 253 nt
Filed under: uncultured bacterium
Lineage: Bacteria
Description: partial 16S ribosomal RNA
Rfam family: Bacterial small subunit ribosomal RNA
Source: RNAcentral
UACGUAGGGGGCAAGCGUUGUCCGGAAUUAUUGGGCGUAAAGCGCGCGCAGGUGGUAGAAGAAGUCAGGUGUGAAAGGCUGCGGCUCAACCGCAGAGCGGCAUCUGAAACUGCUUUACUUGAGUGCAGGAGAGGAGAGUGGAAUUCCCGGUGUAGCGGUGGAAUGCGUAGAUAUCGGGAGGAACACCAGUGGCGAAGGCGGCUCUCUGGCCUGUAACUGACACUGAGGCGCGAAAGCGUGGGGAGCAAACAGG